Long non-coding RNA from Drosophila ananassae, 245 nucleotides. RefSeq lists it as uncharacterized. The record is from RefSeq and is a predicted model, not a curated record. The transcript is spliced from 2 exons. NCBI's taxonomy places the organism in Eukaryota, Metazoa, Arthropoda, Insecta, Diptera, Drosophilidae.
UCUUCGUGGAUUCCAUCGGGGGUGGUUCGGCUCGCUGCCAGUUAGCCGAGCUCAGCAGUCGUUUCGCUUCGUCCUGGUCCUGGUCGAGGUCCUAGUCCUGGUCCUGUCCGCGCUUAGUUCGUCUGCAGAAGUCACCAGCUACGGUUCGGAGCUUGCUGUGAUUCGUUCGCCAGAAACGACAGAAACGCCAGAAAAGUGAUACCUUCGUGCAGAGUGCCGCGAAAUGGACAAAUAAGUGAGGAGUG